This is a long non-coding RNA of Sapajus apella (tufted capuchin), 114 nucleotides long. RefSeq lists it as uncharacterized. The transcript is spliced from 3 exons. The record is from RefSeq and is a predicted model, not a curated record. Lineage: Eukaryota; Metazoa; Chordata; Mammalia; Primates; Cebidae.
CAUUUAAUUCUUUUGUUAGUGAAGCCAUUUAAAGCACACUUACUUGAAAAGUGUAAAACCGGGUCCCAUUAGGAGGAUGCACUUUAGGGGAGCCAGAAACGGUGUUCAUAUCCG